GGGCUGGGGCUCAGCGGUAGAGUGCUUGUCUUGUGUGUGUGUGAGGCCCUGGGUUCGAUCCCCAGCACCACA
Molecule: transfer RNA, 72 nt
Filed under: Marmota monax (woodchuck)
Lineage: Eukaryota; Metazoa; Chordata; Mammalia; Rodentia; Sciuridae
Description: tRNA.Thr
Source: RNAcentral